RNAcentral lists this ribosomal RNA (1681 nucleotides) under Staphylococcus aureus. Its description in RNAcentral is "partial 23S ribosomal RNA". It matches the Rfam family "Bacterial large subunit ribosomal RNA", at positions 1225 to 2904 of the family's 2925-position model. Lineage: Bacteria; Bacillati; Bacillota; Bacilli; Caryophanales; Staphylococcaceae. The record is from RNAcentral.
AUGGUAGGAGAGCGUUCUAAGGGCGUUGAAGCAUGAUCGUAAGGACAUGUGGAGCGCUUAGAAGUGAGAAUGCCGGUGUGAGUAGCGAAAGACGGGUGAGAAUCCCGUCCACCGAUUGACUAAGGUUUCCAGAGGAAGGCUCGUCCGCUCUGGGUUAGUCGGGUCCUAAGCUGAGGCCGACAGGCGUAGGCGAUGGAUAACAGGUUGAUAUUCCUGUACCACCUAUAAUCGUUUUAAUCGAUGGGGGGACGCAGUAGGAUAGGCGAAGCGUGCGAUUGGAUUGCACGUCUAAGCAGUAAGGCUGAGUAUUAGGCAAAUCCGGUACUCGUUAAGGCUGAGCUGUGAUGGGGAGAAGACAUUGUGUCUUCGAGUCGUUGAUUUCACACUGCCGAGAAAAGCCUCUAGAUAGAAAAUAGGUGCCCGUACCGCAAACCGACACAGGUAGUCAAGAUGAGAAUUCUAAGGUGAGCGAGCGAACUCUCGUUAAGGAACUCGGCAAAAUGACCCCGUAACUUCGGGAGAAGGGGUGCUCUUUAGGGUUAACGCCCAGAAGAGCCGCAGUGAAUAGGCCCAAGCGACUGUUUAUCAAAAACACAGGUCUCUGCUAAACCGUAAGGUGAUGUAUAGGGGCUGACGCCUGCCCGGUGCUGGAAGGUUAAGAGGAGUGGUUAGCUUCUGCGAAGCUACGAAUCGAAGCCCCAGUAAACGGCGGCCGUAACUAUAACGGUCCUAAGGUAGCGAAAUUCCUUGUCGGGUAAGUUCCGACCCGCACGAAAGGCGUAACGAUUUGGGCACUGUCUCAACGAGAGACUCGGUGAAAUCAUAGUACCUGUGAAGAUGCAGGUUACCCGCGACAGGACGGAAAGACCCCGUGGAGCUUUACUGUAGCCUGAUAUUGAAAUUCGGCACAGCUUGUACAGGAUAGGUAGGAGCCUUUGAAACGUGAGCGCUAGCUUACGUGGAGGCGCUGGUGGGAUACUACCCUAGCUGUGUUGGCUUUCUAACCCGCACCACUUAUCGUGGUGGGAGACAGUGUCAGGCGGGCAGUUUGACUGGGGCGGUCGCCUCCUAAAAGGUAACGGAGGCGCUCAAAGGUUCCCUCAGAAUGGUUGGAAAUCAUUCAUAGAGUGUAAAGGCAUAAGGGAGCUUGACUGCGAGACCUACAAGUCGAGCAGGGUCGAAAGACGGACUUAGUGAUCCGGUGGUUCCGCAUGGAAGGGCCAUCGCUCAACGGAUAAAAGCUACCCCGGGGAUAACAGGCUUAUCUCCCCCAAGAGUUCACAUCGACGGGGAGGUUUGGCACCUCGAUGUCGGCUCAUCGCAUCCUGGGGCUGUAGUCGGUCCCAAGGGUUGGGCUGUUCGCCCAUUAAAGCGGUACGCGAGCUGGGUUCAGAACGUCGUGAGACAGUUCGGUCCCUAUCCGUCGUGGGCGUAGGAAAUUUGAGAGGAGCUGUCCUUAGUACGAGAGGACCGGGAUGGACAUACCUCUGGUGUACCAGUUGUCGUGCCAACGGCAUAGCUGGGUAGCUAUGUGUGGACGGGAUAAGUGCUGAAAGCAUCUAAGCAUGAAGCCCCCCUCAAGAUGAGAUUUCCCAACUUCGGUUAUAAGAUCCCUCAAAGAUGAUGAGGUUAAUAGGUUCGAGGUGGAAGCAUGGUGACAUGUGGAGCUGACGAAUACUAA